AGCGAACGCUGGCGGCAGGCCUAACACAUGCAAGUCGAACGAACCUUUCGGGGUUAGUGGCGGACGGGUGAGUAACACGUGGGAACGUGCCUUUAGGUUCGGAAUAACUCAGGGAAACUUGUGCUAAUACCGAAUGUGCCCUUCGGGGGAAAGAUUUAUCGCCUUUAGAGCGGCCCGCGGCUGGUUAGCUAGUUGGUUGGGGUAAUGGCUCACCAAGGCGACGAUCAGUAGCUGGUCUGAGCGGAUGAUCAGCCACAUUGGGACUGAGACACGGCCCAAACUGCUACGGGAGGCAGAAGUGGGGAAGAUUGGACGAUGGGCGCAGGCCUGAUCCAGCCAUACCGCGUGGGUGAAGAAGGCUUUCGGGUUGUAAAGCCCUUUUGUUGGGAAAGAAAAGCAGCAGGUUAAUACCCCGCUGUUCUGACGGUACCCAAAGAAUAAGCACCGGCUAACUUCGUG
Molecule: ribosomal RNA, 459 nt
Filed under: uncultured bacterium
Lineage: Bacteria
Description: partial 16S ribosomal RNA
Rfam family: Bacterial small subunit ribosomal RNA
Source: RNAcentral